UACGAAGGGGGCUAGCGUUGUUCGGAUUUACUGGGCGUAAAGCGCACGUAGGCGGAUCUUUAAGUCAGAGGUGAAAUCCCAAGGCUCAACCUUGGAACUGCCUUUGAUACUGGGGAUCUUGAGUCCGGGAGAGGUGAGUGGAACUGCGAGUGUAGAGGUGAAAUUCGUAGAUAUUCGCAAGAACACCAGUGGCGAAGGCGGCGCACUGGCCCGGUACUGACGCUGAGGUGCGAAAGCGUGGGGAGCAAACAGG
This 253-nucleotide ribosomal RNA is filed under the name uncultured bacterium. RNAcentral's name for it is "partial 16S ribosomal RNA". It matches the Rfam family "Bacterial small subunit ribosomal RNA", at positions 524 to 776 of the family's 1533-position model. The record is from RNAcentral.